Molecule: ribosomal RNA, 286 nt
Filed under: Microsporidium sp.
Lineage: Eukaryota; Fungi; Microsporidia
Description: partial small subunit ribosomal RNA
Rfam family: Microsporidia small subunit ribosomal RNA
Source: RNAcentral
GACAAAAGAUAACCUGGAGAAAUUCAGGCUAAGAACGAGGAUAAGGCUUAGCACUAUUAGUUAGUCGGUAGUGUAAUGGACUACGGAGACGAUGAUGGUUGACGGGACACGAGAGUGUUAUACCGGAGAGGGAGCCUGAGAAACGGCUCCUACGUUUAUGGACGGCAGCAGGCGCGAAAAUUGUCCACUCUUUGCAGGAGACAGUUAUGAGAAGUAAGAUCGAUAGGCCCUUUAAACGAGGGUUCUAAAAUUGGAGGGCAAGUUUGGUGCCAGCAUCCGCGGUAAU